Molecule: small nucleolar RNA, 134 nt
Filed under: Plasmodium falciparum 7G8
Lineage: Eukaryota; Apicomplexa; Aconoidasida; Haemosporida; Plasmodiidae
Description: small nucleolar RNA snoR15
Rfam family: small nucleolar RNA snoR15
Source: Rfam by way of RNAcentral
CUCAUAUGAUGAGGAAAUUAAACGGCGAUAUUGUACUUUCAUUAUCCCUACUUCUUAAUCUCUGAAAGUAUGUAUAUAAAAAUAAUGAAAGUGAAUGAGGGCCAAAAAAAUGAGUAGUUCUCAAUCUGAUAAAA